CCGCCUGGGUGUGCCUUUGGUGAGUCAAGCUCAGCGUCUGCUUCCUGUGGCCGUGUCCUGAGCUGCUCUCUUCUGGCACGCCCUUGGGCCAUGGUGUUCUGCCGCACCUGGGCCCAGAGCAGCAGCGACCUCGGAAACGUGAGCCAGACUGACCUUUCCUCCUCUAAAGUUGUUCUCCUCAGGUCACAGCAGCAAAGAAUCCGACCGAAACAUCACCCGAAAAGUGAUGAGCCCCACACCAAGCAGCAGUCGCUUCUCCUUGGUGCCAGACACUGGGGUUUUUUGACCUGCCGAGGACGGAGGGAAAUGAAGUCAGGGUGAGCACAGGCAAGGUGGAUGUGUGGUGAUGGCUUCAGGCACAGCUGGCUCAAGCACAUCCGUGUGCUGAGGACAAGGCACAUGGCCUGCAAAGAACACACCACCCUGAGCUGACCCUGGUCGGGGGCAGCACACACCAAGCCCUGGGGCUGCUGUCCACUGUGAGCGGAGGCCAAGGGGUAUUCUUGUCCUUUGUGGUGCUGGCCCCUGACUUACAAGGUGAGCACCCAUGGAACAUGGGCGAGGGAGGACUCCCUCCAGGAAGGGGAGGUGGCACGCAGUUCAGGUACGCACCCACAGUUGGUAUGAUUUCCUUGAAUUCUCCAAAGUCCAUUUUGCAAGUGAAGACGCAGGCUCAGAGAGGUUAAGUAGCAGCCCUUGGGUCACACAGGUGGGAGUAUCAGCCAUAAAUCUAAGGAAAGUGGCCUCAGAUCACAGGUCCAAUGGUCCCGCCCAGGAAGGAGGGCAGCCUGGCAGGAAGGUGAGUCAGUCUCUGUUACAACUAAAUCUGGCUCCUUGAGUUGGGUGCUGUGAUGGUCAAUCUCAUGUGUCACCUUGGCUAGGUCUGGUGCCCAGAGAUGUGGCCUGUCACAUGUCUCAGUGAAGUUUUUUUUUUUUUUUUAAUUGUAGAUGGACACAAUACUUUUAUUUAUUUUUAUGUGGCGCUGAGGCUGGAACCCAGCACGGCACACGUGCGAGGCAGCCUCGGCCUCGACAGUGAAGGUCAAUAUUUCAAUCAGUAGCUGUGCAGUAAAGCCAAAGAUCCCCCACGUGGGUGGGUCUCAUCCAAUCUGUUGAAGGCCCCCCCCCCCACAAGAGAAAGGCAGAGGCGGCGACCGGGAUGGGAUUCCGCCUGCAGAGGCCCUGGGAGUCAAGUGCAGUCCUCCGCAAGUGCCCCUGUCGGCUGGCUUGCAGGGUGCACACUGGCCAGGCCCCUGGCCACAUGCCUGCUCCUGAAAAUCCUCGCCGGUCUGUAUGCACAGAGGCCUGUUGGGUCGGGAGAGGAAGCCCAGCCUCCUGGGCGCCACCCGCGGGCCUCACGGAAAGGAGCACCGACAACCCCGCGACGGGCCGGAGGGGCGUGGCCGGGGUGCGGG
Molecule: long non-coding RNA, 1415 nt
Filed under: Marmota monax (woodchuck)
Lineage: Eukaryota; Metazoa; Chordata; Mammalia; Rodentia; Sciuridae
Source: RNAcentral